CCCCUAGAUGUUCUGGGCCGCACGGGCGCUACACUGAACAGUUCAACAAGUCUUAACCUUGGCCGAUAGGUCUGGGUAAUCUUUGAACGCUGUUCGUGAUUGGGAUAGACCUUUGCAAUUAUGGGUCUUCAACGAGGAAUUCCUAGUAAACGCAAGUCAUCAGCUUGCAUUGAUUACGUCCCUGCCCUUUGUACACACCGCCCGUCGCACCUACCGAUUGAAUGGUCCGGUGAAAUCUCGGGACGGCGGCUUGGUCGCUUGCGUCCGACUGCUGAAACUUGAUUAAACCAUAUCAUUUAGAGGAAGGUGAAGUCGUAACA
RNAcentral lists this ribosomal RNA (320 nucleotides) under uncultured eukaryote. RNAcentral describes it as "partial 18S ribosomal RNA". It matches the Rfam family "Eukaryotic small subunit ribosomal RNA", at positions 1470 to 1796 of the family's 1831-position model. The record is from RNAcentral.